AACUUUCGGCAACGGAUCACUUGGCUCUCGCAUUGAUGAAGAACGCAGCGAAAUGCGCAAAGUAAUGUGAAUUGCAGAAUUCACUGAAUGAUCGAAUCUUUGAACGCACCUUGCGCUCCUCGGUAUUCCGAGGAGCAUGCCUGUUUGGGUGUCAUUAAUAUAUCAACCUUCUCUUGUUGAGUGGGUUUGGAUGUGGGGGUUUGCUGGCCUCUUAAGAGGUUUCAGCUCUCCUGAAAUGCAUUAGCAGAACAACCCUGUUCAUUGGUGUGAUAACUAUCUACGCUAUUGAAUGUGAAGGGCAGUUCGGCUUCCUAACAGUCCUUGGACAGCUCAUCAUUAAUGUGACCUCAAAUCAGGUAGGACUACCCGCUGAACUUAAGCAUAUCAAUAAGCGGAGGCU
This 400-nucleotide unclassified non-coding RNA is filed under the name uncultured Cortinarius. RNAcentral describes it as "sequence contains ITS2". The stretch from base 1 to 154 matches the Rfam family "5.8S ribosomal RNA". The record is from RNAcentral. Lineage: Eukaryota; Fungi; Basidiomycota; Agaricomycetes; Agaricales; Cortinariaceae.